This 86-nucleotide transfer RNA is filed under the name Anaerolineales bacterium. RNAcentral describes it as "tRNA-Tyr". It matches the Rfam family "tRNA". Rfam says of the family: Transfer RNA (tRNA) molecules are approximately 80 nucleotides in length. Their secondary structure includes four short double-helical elements and three loops (D, anti-codon, and T loops). Further hydrogen bonds mediate the characteristic L-shaped molecular structure. tRNAs have two regions of fundamental functional importance: the anti-codon, which is responsible for specific mRNA codon recognition, and the 3' end, to which the tRNAs corresponding amino acid is attached (by aminoacyl-tRNA synthetases). tRNAs cope with the degeneracy of the genetic code in two manners: having more than one tRNA (with a specific anti-codon) for a particular amino acid; and 'wobble' base-pairing, i.e. permitting non-standard base-pairing at the 3rd anti-codon position. Lineage: Bacteria; Bacillati; Chloroflexota; Anaerolineae; Anaerolineales. The record is from RNAcentral.
GGGUUGGUGUCCCGAGCGGCAAUGGGAACUGUCUGUAAAACAGGUGUGGUACAGCCACUACGUAGGUUCGAGUCCUACUCAACCCA